GAUGAACGCUGGCGGCGUGCCUAAUACAUGCAAGUCGAGCGAACAGAUGAGGAGCUUGCUCCUCUGACGUUAGCGGCGGACGGGUGAGUAACACGUGGAUAACCUACCUAUAAGACUGGGAUAACUUCGGGAAACCGGAGCUAAUACCGGAUAAUAUAUUGAACCGCAUGGUUCAAUAGUGAAAGACGGUUUUGCUGUCACUUAUAGAUGGAUCCGCGCCGCAUUAGCUAGUUGGUAAGGUAACGGCUUACCAAGGCAACGAUGCGUAGCCGACCUGAGAGGGUGAUCGGCCACACUGGGACUGAGACACGGCCCAGACUCCUACGGGAGGCAGCAGUGGGGAAUAUUGGACAAUGGGCGAAAGCCUGAUCCAGCAAUGCCGCGUGAGUGAUGUAGGCCUUAGGGUUGUAAAGCUCUUUUACCCGGGAUGAUAAUGACAGUACCGGGAGAAUAAGCUCCGGCUAACUCCGUG
This 472-nucleotide ribosomal RNA is filed under the name uncultured bacterium. RNAcentral describes it as "partial 16S ribosomal RNA". It matches the Rfam family "Bacterial small subunit ribosomal RNA", at positions 28 to 507 of the family's 1533-position model. The record is from RNAcentral.